Rhododendron vialii is the source of this 3913-nucleotide RNA transcript. It is a transcript of the gene named polyadenylation and cleavage factor homolog 4, with no coding region annotated. Lineage: Eukaryota; Viridiplantae; Streptophyta; Magnoliopsida; Ericales; Ericaceae. The record is from RefSeq and is a predicted model, not a curated record. The transcript has 8 exons.
CCCUAUCGCCCGAUUCGAAGACUCGACAACAGCUUCGUGUCUCUCUCUCUUCGAUCCACUGCAACCUCUCUAGAACCUUCGAUCAACUCGACUCAACUCCUCUCUAAAUCGCAAAACCUGUAUUCCAAUUUAUCUUUCGUGAAAAUUUGUAGUCCAAUUACUCUGUAAUUUUUCUCUUUCUUUUCGAUUCUCUGUAUGUCCAUCAGGGCUAGGGUUUGUUUUUAAUUCGCUCAAAUGAAGUCGAUGGAAUUAAUUUGUAGCUCAUGUUUUCUGCUUUCGAUUAGAAUCAUGUAACAUUAGGGUUUCAAUUAUUGUCAAUUUUGUGGCGAUGGAGAUGGAGAGCAGUCGUAGAACGCUGGACAGAUCGAGAGAACCAGGUCUGAAGAAACCCAGAUUGGCCGAAGACUCGGUAACGCUGGCAAGGUACAGAGAGAGAGAUGCGGAGAGCAGCGAUUCGGUGCGAGGAGGUCCCCCAUAUCAGCAGCAGCAGGAGCUAGUGAGUCAGUACAAGGCUGCUCUGUCGGAGCUGACAUUCAAUUCGAAACCCAUCAUCACUAACUUGACUAUCAUAGCGGGCGAAAACUUGCACGCCGCCAAGGCCAUCGCGGCAGCUGUCUGCGCUAAUAUCAUUGAGGUUCCAAGUGAGCAGAAGCUUCCUUCGCUUUAUCUUUUAGACAGUAUUGUGAAGAAUAUUGGGAGGGAUUAUAUAAAAUACUUUGCUGCCAGAUUACCGGAGGUGUUCUGCAAGGCAUACAGACAGGUAGACUCUUCUAUACAUCCCGGAAUGCGGCAUCUUUUUGGAACAUGGAAAGGAGUAUUCCCUCCCCAGUCACUUCAGCUGAUUGAAAAAGAACUCAGUUUCCCCCCUGCUGUCAAUGGUUUACCUUCAGGAUCUACAGCAUCCAGGCCAGAUUCACAAUCUCCACGUCCACCAAACAGUAUUCAUGUGAAUCCCAAGUAUUUGGAGGCUAGACAACAACGUCUUCAACAGUCCAACAAAGUAAAAGGUGCCGCGAAUGACAGUACUGGAACCAUGGUGAACUUACAAGAGGAUACAGAGAGAGUGGACAGGGCAACUGGUAUUGUUUCCGGGAGGCCACGGGCAGAUCCCCCUCUUAAGAUGCAAAAUGUUCAGCGUCCUCAGAGAGAUUCUGUAUCAUUCAGAGAUUAUGAACAUGGUUCUGAUCUUUCAAGGCAGACAGGCUUGGGAAUUGGAAGAGCUAGUGAGAGGGAUGUGGAUCGAGCGUUUGACAAACCUUGGAAUGGAGGUGGCAGUGGUAUGGCAGAAACAAUGGCCACCCUAAAGAAUGGUUUUGAUAUCAAGCAAGGGUUUCCAAGUUACUUAAACCCCAGAUCGACGAACACUGACGUGCGUCUACUGCCUGCACAGAGCAUUUCAGGUAAAAGCAGUAGCAGUGGCGUGAGCAGGAGCUGGAAGAACUCUGAUGAAGAGGAGUUUAUGUGGGAUGGCAUGAACUCUAGAUCCGGUGAUCAUGCUGCAAUCAGUAGCUCAAGGAAAGAUUACUGGAUCCCUGAUGAUUCUGAAAGAUUGGGCAAUGAAAACUCCUUUCGUAAGCUACGAAAUUCAACUGACUUUGGUUCAAGGACUGAUACAGAAGCUUCAACUGAUUCACCGUCCACAAAUCAGAAACAUCAAGCAGCUUUAGGUCAUCGCAUGUCAUCAUCGUGGACACAGGAGCCAUAUUCAACAGAUAGGAUCAGCAAUUCAGGCUCAUUCCAGCCACAGGUGGGGUCAUCCAAUAUUGGUUCCUCAAGUUUUCGGUUUUUGAAGAAUCCGGUGUCAGGUUCCACUGGAUCAGGCCAACCAUACUCUGUAGGAGCUGAGUCACCUGGACAGUCACCUAUGUACCAGUAUCCUCUCUCACCUUCUCUGCCACACCGAUCCCAUCAAGUAUUGCACAAUUUGGCGGACCAAGACCAACUGCCAGCUCAACUCCUUCCUCGUCCAGACUUGAUAAAAUCUCAACUUUCAGGACCCUUAAACAUGGGGCCACAUAAUCAGUUCUCUAAGGAACCUUUUCUUGCGCAUCCCCAGAAAGUUCCGAUGGGAAAACCACAAAUAUUGCAACCCCAUAAUUUACAGACGUCAUCUCCUAUUGUGCCUGCUAUUCAACCAAGACAGAAUACUCCUUUUUCACAACUACUAUCGCCAGACCCCAUUCUGUCUGAACCUUCUGGCCAACCCCAUAAAUUGCAAUCGCCUCAGACUGUAAUUUCUGGAAAUCCCUCAACUUCUGGGAAUUCUUCCUUGGAUAAUGCAAAUUUUCCUGCAGCAGAAAGCACUUGUAAUUUGUUGGCUUCGAUUGUGAAAAGUGGAAUACUCACUACCAAUUCUGUUUCUGAUAGUCUUCCUAAACUGGGUUUCCAGGAUUCUGGGGCAGUAUCAUCUCACCCAUUUGUAAAGCCGCCUCUGCCAAGUAACCCUCCAUCAACUCAAUUUACAUUCUCGGGCCCCACGGUAGCAUCAGGAUCUUUACUAACUCUACCUUCCCAUGACAACACUUCAACUUCCAUGACUUCCUCUCAGAGAAAGCUCAAACAGCCACCACUACCAUCUGGUCCUCCCCCUUCUUCAGUUAUGGGUAAUAGUGCAUUAGCACAAGCUUCAAUGGAAAAUGAUGUUUCUAAUCCAGUGUCAAGUCUUAUUAAUUCAUUGGUUGCAAAGGGAUUGAUAUCUUCAUCAAAGAUGAAGCCAUCAUCAUCUGUGUCAGAGCAAAUGCCUACUCAACUCCACAACCAUAGUGCAAGCAUUGUCUCAACUAGUUCAGUCCCAGUUACCUCUACUAUCACAGUUUCAUCCAAAAUGGAGGAGCUUUCCAAACUUGCGGCUACGAGUUCUGUGGCCUUAUCUCAAUCCGCCCCUGUAGAUAUCAAACCUCUCAUUGGGUUUGAGUUUAAGCCAGAUGUAAUUCGGCAGUCACAUCAAUCUGUUAUCACUGAACUCGUUGAUGACCUUCCCCAUCGAUGCAGCACUUGUGGCAUUGGACUUAAACAUCAAGAACAGCUUCAGAGACAUUUGGAGUGGCAUGAUUUGAAAAAACCAGAUGUGAACUGUUCAAAUAAGGCUUCAAGGAGAGGUUGGUAUGCAGAUUCUGCGGAUUGGGUCACUGGAAAAGUAGGACUGGCUUCCGGACUGCAACCCACCAGUGUUUUGGAAUUGCCUGGUGAGGGAGUUGAGAUGAACUUGGAGAUGGUUGUUGCAGAUGAAACUCAAUGUGUCUGUGUUUUGUGUGGUGAGCUAUUUGAAGAUUACUACAGUCACGAAUCAGACGAGUGGAUGUUCAAAGGUGCUGUUUACAUGACCAUCCCUUUGGGAGAGGUUGGAAGUUCAAGGGAGAUUGCCACUCAAGGUCCCAUUGUCCAUGCAAACUGUAUAUCAGAGAGUUCCGCCCAGGAUUUGGGAUUGUCUAGCAGGGCUUAAUUGGAAAACAAUAUAUGAUGUUUUGGGGUGGAAAAGGAGACCAUCAUAAUGCCAUGCGCGAGAACGAAUAUAGUGCUAGCAGCCUAGUGAAAACUACUUCAGUACUACAAUUGACAGAAGGCAUACCAAUGCGUCCUCAUAAUAGCAAAUAAGCUUGGGCUUUAUGUUUGUUUAUCUGCCUAAAUCGAUUUGCCUCGCUCUUUUUCUUUUUUUAAUCUGUGGUGGAUCAGUGUUUGUUUCCUUUCUUUUUAUCUUUUAAUUUUUUUGUGCUGCAUUUCUAUUACAGACAUUGACAUUCUCCUGUAAUCACUGCCAGCAAUGAAUCUGGGUUUGAUCUUUUGGCUAUCCUUAGAUACUUGGAGAAGUUGCAGUGCGCCUUAUGUUGUGUACUAUUCCUGUAAGACGUGACUCAAUGGAUGUGUUUCAGUUACGCAUAUGUUGUUUAAUGCAAAAUAUAUGUUGGUUUUUGAA